This 570-nucleotide ribosomal RNA is filed under the name Pseudomonas aeruginosa. Its description in RNAcentral is "bacterial SSU rRNA". It matches the Rfam family "Bacterial small subunit ribosomal RNA", at positions 235 to 796 of the family's 1533-position model. The record is from RNAcentral. Lineage: Bacteria; Pseudomonadati; Pseudomonadota; Gammaproteobacteria; Pseudomonadales; Pseudomonadaceae.
GUCGGAUUAGCUAGUUGGUGGGGUAAAGGCCUACCAAGGCGACGAUCCGUAACUGGUCUGAGAGGAUGAUCAGUCACACUGGAACUGAGACACGGUCCAGACUCCUACGGGAGGCAGCAGUGGGGAAUAUUGGACAAUGGGCGAAAGCCUGAUCCAGCCAUGCCGCGUGUGUGAAGAAGGUCUUCGGAUUGUAAAGCACUUUAAGUUGGGAGGAAGGGCAGUAAGUUAAUACCUUGCUGUUUUGACGUUACCAACAGAAUAAGCACCGGCUAACUUCGUGCCAGCAGCCGCGGUAAUACGAAGGGUGCAAGCGUUAAUCGGAAUUACUGGGCGUAAAGCGCGCGUAGGUGGUUCAGCAAGUUGGAUGUGAAAUCCCCGGGCUCAACCUGGGAACUGCAUCCAAAACUACUGAGCUAGAGUACGGUAGAGGGUGGUGGAAUUUCCUGUGUAGCGGUGAAAUGCGUAGAUAUAGGAAGGAACACCAGUGGCGAAGGCGACCACCUGGACUGAUACUGACCCUGAGGUGCGAAAGCGUGGGGAGCAAACAGGAUUAAAUACCCCGGGUAGUCC